This 341-nucleotide unclassified non-coding RNA is filed under the name soil metagenome. Its description in RNAcentral is "partial contains 5.8S ribosomal RNA, internal transcribed spacer 2, and large subunit ribosomal RNA". The stretch from base 1 to 120 matches the Rfam family "5.8S ribosomal RNA", at positions 35 to 154 of the family's 154-position model. The record is from RNAcentral.
GAUGAAGAACGUAGUGAAAUGCGAUAAGUAGUGUGAAUUGCAGAAUUCAGUGAAUCAUCGAAUCUUUGAACGCACAUUGCGCCCUUUGGUAUUCCAAAGGGCAUGCCUGUUCGAGCGUCAUUUGUACCCUCAAGCUUUGCUUGGUGUUGGGCGUCUUGUCUCUAGCUUUGCUGGAGACUCGCCUUAAAGUAAUUGGCAGCCGGCCCACUGGUUUCGGAGCGCAGCACAAGUCGCACUCUCUAUCAGCAAAGGUCUAGCAUCCAUUAAGCCUUUUUUUCAACUUUUGACCUCGGAUCAGGUAGGGAUACCCGCUGAACUUAAGCAUAUCAAUAAGCGGAGGA